UUAAGUGACUAAGCGUACACGGUGGAUGCCUUGGCAGUCAGAGGCGAUGAAAGACGUAGUAACUUGCGAUAAGCCCAGAUUAGGUAGUAACAACCAUUUGAGUCUGGGAUUUCUGAAUGGGGAAACCCACGUGCAUAAGCACGUAUCCUUACCUGAAUACAUAGGGUAAGGAGGCGAACCGGGGGAACUGAAACAUCUAAGUACCCCGAGGAAAAGAAAUCAACCGAGAUUCCGAAAGUAGCGGCGAGCGAAAUUGGACUAGCCCUUAAGCUUUACACGCGUUAGACGAACGGUCUGGAAAGUCCGACGAUACAGGGUGAUAGUCCCGUAGUUGACGACGUGUGUUCAGUGAAAUCGAGUAGGGCGGGACACGUGAUAUCCUGUCUGAAUAUGGGGGGACCAUCCUCCAAGGCUAAAUACUACUGACUGACCGAUAGUGAACCAGUACCGUGAGGGAAAGGCGAAAAGAACCCCUGUGAGGGGAGUGAAAUAGAACCUGAAACCGUGUACGUACAAGCAGUAGGAGCAGGCUUUGUCCUGUGACUGCGUACCUUUUGUAUAAUGGGUCAGCGACUUAUAUUCAGUGGCAAGGUUAACCAUCUAGGGGAGCCGUAGGGAAACCGAGUCUUAACUGGGCGUUCAGUCUCUGGAUAUAGACCCGAAACCAGGUGAUCUAGCCAUGGGCAGGUUGAAGGUUGAGUAACAUCAACUGGAGGACCGAACCGACUAAUGUUGAAAAAUUAGCGGAUGACUUGUGGCUAGGGGUGAAAGGCCAAUCAAACCUGGAGAUAGCUGGUUCUCCCCGAAAGCUAUUUAGGUAGCGCCUCGGACGAAUACUACUGGGGGUAGAGCACUGUUAAGGCUAGGGGGUCAUCCCGACUUACCAACCCUUUGCAAACUCCGAAUACCAGUAAGUACUAUCCGGGAGACACACGGCGGGUGCUAACGUCCGUCGUGGAGAGGGAAACAACCCAGACCGCCAGCUAAGGUCCCAAAUUACUACUAAGUGGGAAACGAUGUGGGAAGGCUCAGACAGCCAGGAUGUUGGCUUAGAAGCAGCCAUCAUUUAAAGAAAGCGUAAUAGCUCACUGGUCGAGUCGGCCUGCGCGGAAGAUGUAACGGGGCUAAGUAGUAAACCGAAGCUGCGGCAAUGUGCUUUUGCACAUUGGGUAGGGGAGCGUUCUGUAAGCGGUUGAAGGUGUGUGGUAACGCAUGCUGGACGUAUCAGAAGUGCGAAUGCUGACAUGAGUAACGAUAAAGGGGGUGAAAAACCUCCUCGCCGGAAGACCAAGGGUUCCUGUCCAACGUUAAUCGGGGCAGGGUAAGUCGACCCCUAAGGCGAGGCCGAAAGGCGUAGUCGAUGGGAAACGGGUUAAUAUUCCCGUACUUCUUACAAUUGCGAUGGGGGGACGGAGAAGGCUAGGUGGGCCUGGCGACGGUUGUCCAGGUUCAAGUGCGUAGGCUUAAGAGUUAGGUAAAUCCGGCUCUUUUUAAGGCUGAGACACGACGUCGAGCACCUACGGGUGUGAAGUCAUUGAUGCCAUGCUUCCAGGAAAAGCCUCUAAGCUUCAGAUUGUAAGGAAUCGUACCCCAAACCGACACAGGUGGUCGGGUAGAGAAUACCAAGGCGCUUGAGAGAACUCGGGUGAAGGAACUAGGCAAAAUGGUACCGUAACUUCGGGAGAAGGUACGCUCUUGAUGGUGAAGUCCCUCGCGGAUGGAGCUGACGAGAGUCGCAGAUACCAGGUGGCUGCAACUGUUUAUUAAAAACACAGCACUGUGCAAAAUCGUAAGAUGACGUAUACGGUGUGACGCCUGCCCGGUGCCGGAAGGUUAAUUGAUGGGGUUAGACUUCGGUCGAAGCUCUUGAUCGAAGCCCCGGUAAACGGCGGCCGUAACUAUAACGGUCCUAAGGUAGCGAAAUUCCUUGUCGGGUAAGUUCCGACCUGCACGAAUGGCGUAAUGAUGGCCACGCUGUCUCCACCCGAGACUCAGUGAAAUUGAAAUCGCUGUGAAGAUGCAGUGUACCCGCGGCUAGACGGAAAGACCCCGUGAACCUUUACUACAGCUUGGCACUGAACAUUGACCCUACAUGUGUAGGAUAGGUGGGAGGCUUUGAAGCACGUACGCCAGUAUGUGUGGAGCCGUCCUUGAAAUACCACCCUUGUAGUGUUGAUGUUCUAACGUCGACCCCUUAUCGGGGUUGCGGACAGUGCCUGGUGGGUAGUUUGACUGGGGCGGUCUCCUCCCAAAGAGUAACGGAGGAGCACGAAGGUGGGCUAAUCACGGUUGGACAUCGUGAGGUUAGUGCAAUGGCAUAAGCCCGCUUGACUGCGAGAAUGACAAUUCGAGCAGGUGCGAAAGCAGGUCAUAGUGAUCCGGUGGUUCUGAAUGGAAGGGCCAUCGCUCAACGGAUAAAAGGUACUCCGGGGAUAACAGGCUGAUACCGCCCAAGAGUUCAUAUCGACGGCGGUGUUUGGCACCUCGAUGUCGGCUCAUCACAUCCUGGGGCUGAAGUCGGUCCCAAGGGUAUGGCUGUUCGCCAUUUAAAGUGGUACGCGAGCUGGGUUUAGAACGUCGUGAGACAGUUCGGUCCCUAUCUGCCGUGGGCGUUGGAAGAUUGAAGGGGGCUGCUCCUAGUACGAGAGGACCGGAGUGGACGAACCUCUGGUGUUCGGGUUGUGUCGCCAGACGCAUUGCCCGGUAGCUAAGUUCGGAAUCGAUAACCGCUGAAAGCAUCUAAGCGGGAAGCGAGCCCUGAGAUGAGUCUUCCCUGAUACUUUAAGUAUCCUAAAGGGUUGUCGGAGACUACGACGUUGAUAGGUCAGGUGUGUAAGUGCUGUGAGGCAUUGAGCUAACUGAUACUAAUUGCCCGUGAGGCUUAACCA
Molecule: ribosomal RNA, 2888 nt
Filed under: Vibrio alginolyticus
Lineage: Bacteria; Pseudomonadati; Pseudomonadota; Gammaproteobacteria; Vibrionales; Vibrionaceae
Description: 23S ribosomal RNA
Rfam family: Bacterial large subunit ribosomal RNA
Source: RNAcentral